ACGAACGCUGGCGGCGUGCUUAACACAUGCAAGUCGAACGGAAAGGCCCUGCUUUUGUGGGGUGCUCGAGUGGCGAACGGGUGAGUAACACGUGAGUAACCUGCCCUUGACUUUGGGAUAACUUCAGGAAACUGGGGCUAAUACCGGAUAGGAGCUCCUGCUGCAUGGUGGGGGUUGGAAAGUUUCGGCGGUUGGGGAUGGACUCGCGGCUUAUCAGCUUGUUGGUGGGGUAGUGGCUUACCAAGGCUUUGACGGGUAGCCGGCCUGAGAGGGUGACCGGGGAGAUUGGGACUGAGAUACGGCCCAGACUCCUACGGGAGGCAGCAGUGGGGAAUAUUGCACAAUGGGCGGAAGCCUGAUGCAGCAACGCCGCGUGCGGGAUGACGGCCUUCGGGUUGUAAACCGCUUUCGCCUGUGACGAAGCGUGAGUGACGGUAAUGGGUAAAGAAGCACCGGCUAACUACGUG
RNAcentral lists this ribosomal RNA (467 nucleotides) under uncultured bacterium. RNAcentral's name for it is "partial 16S ribosomal RNA". It matches the Rfam family "Bacterial small subunit ribosomal RNA", at positions 29 to 507 of the family's 1533-position model. The record is from RNAcentral.